AUUGAACGCUGGCGGCAUGCCUUACACAUGCAAGUCGAACGGCAGCACGGGUGCUUUCACCUGGUGACGAUUGGCGCGCGGGUGAGUAUUACAUCUGAACAUGUCCUGUAUUGGGGUAUAGCCCCUCGAAAGCCGGAUUAAUACCGCAUACGAUCUACGUAUAAAAGCGGGGUCCCUUCGGGCCUCGCGCUAUGCGGUUGGCCGAUGGCUGAUUAGCUAGUUGGUGGGGUAAAGGCUUACCAAGGCGACGAUCAGUAGCUGGUCUGAGAGGACGACCAGCCACACUGGAACUGAGACACGGCCCAGACUCCUACGGGAGGCAGCAGUGGGGAAUCUUCGACAAUGGGCGAAAGCCUGACGGAGCAACGCCGCGUGUGUGAAGAAGGUCUUCGGGUCGUAAAGCACUUUUAUUAGGAAAGAAAACAUUGGUAAGAAACCAGGCGGGGGAUGACGGUACCGGAAGAAUAAGCCACGGCUAACUACGUG
RNAcentral lists this ribosomal RNA (486 nucleotides) under uncultured bacterium. Its description in RNAcentral is "partial 16S ribosomal RNA". It matches the Rfam family "Bacterial small subunit ribosomal RNA", at positions 30 to 507 of the family's 1533-position model. The record is from RNAcentral.